Molecule: ribosomal RNA, 1196 nt
Filed under: Salmonella enterica
Lineage: Bacteria; Pseudomonadati; Pseudomonadota; Gammaproteobacteria; Enterobacterales; Enterobacteriaceae
Description: partial 23S ribosomal RNA
Rfam family: Bacterial large subunit ribosomal RNA
Source: RNAcentral
GAGGGAAACCGAGUCUUAACCGGGCGUUAAGUUGCAGGGUAUAGACCCGAAACCCGGUGAUCUAGCCAUGGGCAGGUUGAAGGUUGGGUAACACUAACUGGAGGACCGAACCGACUAAUGUUGAAAAAUUAGCGGAUGACCUGUGGCUGGGGGUGAAAGGCCAAUCAAACCGGGAGAUAGCUGGUUCUCCCCGAAAGCUAUUUAGGUAGCGCCUCGUGAAUUCAUCUCCGGGGGUAGAGCACUGUUUCGGCUAGGGGGCCAUCCCGGCUUACCAACCCGAUGCAAACUGCGAAUACCGGAGAAUGUUAUCACGGGAGACACACGGCGGGUGCUAACGUCCGUCGUGAAGAGGGAAACAACCCAGACCGCCAGCUAAGGUCCCAAAGUCAUGGUUAAGUGGGAAACGAUGUGGGAAGGCCCAGACAGCCAGGAUGUUGGCUUAGAAGCAGCCAUCAUUUAAAGAAAGCGUAAUAGCUCACUGGUCGAGUCGGCCUGCGCGGAAGAUGUAACGGGGCUAAACCAUGCACCGAAGCUGCGGCAGCGAACGUAUCACCCAAGACAACUUUACGGAGUUGACGAUUGACGGAGCGAAGCGACGUCAAAGCGUUCAUUAAAGUCGAGUUGGCUUAGGGAUACGUUCGUUGGGUAGGGGAGCGUUCUGUAAGCCUGUGAAGGUGUGUCGUGAGGCAUGCUGGAGGUAUCAGAAGUGCGAAUGCUGACAUAAGUAACGAUAAAGCGGGUGAAAAGCCCGCUCGCCGGAAGACCAAGGGUUCCUGUCCAACGUUAAUCGGGGCAGGGUGAGUCGACCCCUAAGGCGAGGCCGAAAGGCGUAGUCGAUGGGAAACGGGUUAAUAUUCCCGUACUUGGUGUUACUGCGAAGGGGGGACGGAGAAGGCUAUGUUGGCCGGGCGACGGUUGUCCCGGUUUAAGCGUGUAGGUGUGUGUUCCAGGUAAAUCCGGUUCACUUUAACACUGAGGCGUGACGACGAGGCACUACGGUGCUGAAGCAACAAAUGCCCUGCUUCCAGGAAAAGCCUCUAAGCAUCAGGUAACAUCAAAUCGUACCCCAAACCGACACAGGUGGUCAGGUAGAGAAUACCAAGGCGCUUGAGAGAACUCGGGUGAAGGAACUAGGCAAAAUGGUGCCGUAACUUCGGGAGAAGGCACGCUGACACGUAGGUGAAGUGAUUUACUCA